This is a non-coding RNA of Paramuricea clavata, 73 nucleotides long. Lineage: Eukaryota; Metazoa; Cnidaria; Anthozoa; Malacalcyonacea; Plexauridae. The record is from the annotation of a GenBank genome assembly.
GACCGCGUAGCUCAGUUGGCAGAGCAUUGGGCUAGUAUCCCAAAGGUCGCGGGUUCGAUUCCCACCGUGGCCA